CACGGUCUGCACUAGACAUCAUUCUUCUCCUAUUAAUAAAUUCUGGUCAAUGACUCCUUAAACUACAUUGAGCCAUAAAGAUCGCAUUUCAUCUCUCCAACUGUGUCGUCCGACGAAAAAUUGAAAGAUUCUGAUUGGCUGCUGAAAGUCGACGUACUUUGCCGAGCACGAGGAUCUUCUGGUCGCCAUCUUGGGAUGCGUUGAUGCCACGGGCGUGACGUCACCGGUUUACGCAAUACUCGUGAGAUGAACUUCUGCAAGGAAGAUUUAAUGUCACUUGGGAGAAUUACUCGGGGAUCGCAAUAAAGAUGUUAAUUGCAGAGUGGAAAUGCCUCGCAGCCGGCAUUAAUCAGUAAAUGAGUCACUUUUCUCGGCUACGACGUUCUUACGCUUUACCGUAGAAGGAUGUGCAGCGGUGAAGAUGCACCCGGAUUUCUCGACCUCGACGACUCUCGGCGGAUAUCGACCCCUGCGAUCAUCUGGAUCGCCGACCUUGACCUCUCCUCCCGUCAUGGACGAGAUCCGGAUCGGUCGUUCCCGGGAUCGCGACCUCUUCCCGCGGAUUACCGGAUCCGAGAUUUCCCGGGACCGGAAGCGGUCGCGUAACAUCCUGUAAGCGAAUACUCGCCUGUCGUCAUCGUGCUUUCGACUUCCGGUGACGAAGCGACGAUCAUUCUCGACAGUGCUUUCCGGGGUGAAAGUCGCCGUUUCCCUCGAGAGUCGCUUCUCUACUUCUUACCAAAAUGUAAACUCGACGAGUAUAUCGGGAAAUAUCGAAUUUUAAAAAGGUGACAUGGAUGUAUAACUUAAAGGGGAAGAAUACAUUGUCAUUUUUAAGGA
Molecule: long non-coding RNA, 840 nt
Organism: Orussus abietinus
Lineage: Eukaryota; Metazoa; Arthropoda; Insecta; Hymenoptera; Orussidae
Exons: 2
Source: RefSeq, a predicted model, not a curated record